GACGAACGCUGGCGGCGUGCUUAACACAUGCAAGUCGAACGGAAAGGCCCUGCUUUUGUGGGGUGCUCGAGUGGCGAACGGGUGAGUAACACGUGAGUAACCUGCCCUUGACUUUGGGAUAACUUCAGGAAACUGGGGCUAAUACCGGAUAGGAGCUCCUGCUGCAUGGUGGGGGUUGGAAAGUUUCGGCGGUUGGGGAUGGACUCGCGGCUUAUCAGCUGGUUGGUGGGGUAGUGGCUUACCAAGGCUUAGACGGGUAGCCGGCCUGAGAGGGUGACCGGCCACAUUGGGACUGAGAUACGGCCCAGACUCCUACGGGAGGCAGCAGUGGGGAAUAUUGCACAAUGGGCGGAAGCCUGAUGCAGCAACGCCGCGUGCGGGAUGACGGCCUUCGGGUUGUAAACCGCUUUCGCCUGUGACGAAGCGUGAGUGACGGUAAUGGGUAAAGAAGCACCGGCUAACUACGUG
RNAcentral lists this ribosomal RNA (468 nucleotides) under uncultured bacterium. Its description in RNAcentral is "partial 16S ribosomal RNA". It matches the Rfam family "Bacterial small subunit ribosomal RNA", at positions 28 to 507 of the family's 1533-position model. The record is from RNAcentral.